This 509-nucleotide ribosomal RNA is filed under the name uncultured bacterium. RNAcentral describes it as "bacterial SSU rRNA". It matches the Rfam family "Bacterial small subunit ribosomal RNA", at positions 19 to 518 of the family's 1533-position model. The record is from RNAcentral.
UCGGCUUAGGAUGAACGCUAGCGACAGGCUUAACACAUGCAAGUCGAGGGGCAUCACGGGAGUAGCAAUACAACUGGUGGCGACCGGCGCACGGGUGAGUAACGCGUAUGCAACCGUACCUAUCAGGAGGGGAAUAACCCGGCGAAAGUCGGACUAAUACCGCAUAAAACAGGGGCACCGCAUGGUGAUAUUGUUAAAGAAAUUCGCUGAUAGAUGGGCAUGCGUUCCAUUAGGUAGUUGGUGAGGUAACGGCUCACCAAGCCGACGAUGGAUAGGGGAACUGAGAGGUUGGUCCCCCACACUGGUACUGAGACACGGACCAGACUCCUACGGGAGGCAGCAGUGAGGAAUAUUGGUCAAUGGGCGGGAGCCUGAACCAGCCAAGUCGCGUGAAGGAAGAAGGAUCUAUGGUUCGUAAACUUCUUUUGCAGGGGAAUAAAGUGCAGGACGUGUCCUGUUUUGUAUGUACCCUGAGAAUAAGGAUCGGCUAACUCCGUGCCAGCCGCCGC